ACUACGGGUGGCAGCAGUGAGGAAUAUUGGUCAAUGGACGAGAGUCUGAACCAGCCAAGUAGCGUGAAGGAUGACUGCCCUAUGGGUUGUAAACUUCUUUUAUAUGGGAAUAAAAUGUUCCACGUGUGGGAUUUUGUAUGUACCAUAUGAAUAAGGAUCGGCUAACUCCGUGCCAGAAGCCGCGGUAAUACGGAGGAUCCGAGAGUUAGCCGGAUUUAUUGUGUUUAAAGGGAGCGUAGGUGGAUUUUUAAGUCAGUUGUGAAAGUUUGCGGCUCAACCGUCAAAUUGCAGUUGAAACUGGCAGUCUUGAGUACAGUAGAGGUUGGCGGAAUUCGUGGUGUAGCGGUGAAAUGCUUAGAUAUCACGAAGAACUCCGAUUGCGAAGGCAGCUCACUGGACUGCAACUGACACUGAGGCUCGAAAGUGUGGGUAUCAAACAGGAUUAGAUACCCCUGUAGUC
RNAcentral lists this ribosomal RNA (460 nucleotides) under uncultured bacterium. RNAcentral's name for it is "partial 16S ribosomal RNA". It matches the Rfam family "Bacterial small subunit ribosomal RNA", at positions 338 to 795 of the family's 1533-position model. The record is from RNAcentral.